Molecule: long non-coding RNA, 1495 nt
Filed under: Numida meleagris (helmeted guineafowl)
Lineage: Eukaryota; Metazoa; Chordata; Aves; Galliformes; Numididae
Description: lncRNA (ENSNMEG00000008701.1)
Source: RNAcentral
GACAGGCGGACAGAGCCCCCACAGACGGACGGGGAAAACCUCGCGAGAAACGGGGAAGGGGUGGGGAAGGGAGAGGCGCCCGCCAGUCCCCGCCCCCGCCUGCCCGCCCGCCGGUACCUCGGACCGGGGCGCUGCCCAGAUGUUCCCCUGCCUCCUCUGGUAGCCCAGCGGCAGGGCGGCGGUCACAGCUUCUGCCGUGGUCCUGGUGCCUGAGGGGCGGCUUCAGAGCAAGGCAUCAGCUGGCAGCCAGUUACACUUCUGAGGUCUUCCUGGAUGACCUAGCAAUACAUCCUAGUAGAAACCUGGAACCAAUACCUUCAGGGAAGAAAGAGCUUCUGAAUAUACCUCAUUUGGGCCAUAAGCCUGAAGAGGUGACAACAGCAUCAAAAUUGUUCGCUGUUUUACUACUGAGUCAAAAACAUCCAAUGACUUUGUUAUUAAAAUGAAGAUUCCUGUGAGUACAUCAGUCCCUUAGAAAUUACUGAUGUCCUGAUCUGUUUCCAAAUCUUGAAAACUCUUGGUGCGGAUAUACAAAGGUCUGCAGUCUGCUGAAACCAAAAAAAUAUGAGAAGUUUCAUAGAAACCAAAAUUAAACAGCGUUGCCUGUGAUAAUAUUGAGUCAUCAGUUUUUAAAUUUAUUGGAAGUGGACAGUGUCCAGCAGACUGCUCCAUCAUUUUUGGACCUGUACUAUAAAAUGUCCAUGGGAGGUGCUUGGUUGCAAGAUGCAUAGUUUCUGCAGAUGAAAUGUGAAGCAGAGAGCUAAGCAACUAGCCAGCAAAGAAUACUUUCACUGAGCCAGGUUGACUGAGCCAGGUAAUGUCCCUUUUCUUUGGUUGUUUAUCCCACUGUUUAGCUGGAACUCAAUUUAAUCACUUAAUUUCCUAGAAGCUUCUGCCUUCCCACAUCCAUCUGACUUUUCCCUCCAAUACUCUCCCUUCCUCAGGUUCUCAGGAAAGUAGGAUUCCCCUUAUACCCUUUUGAAACAUAUAUCCCUUUCCUUUCAGAGUGACCCCAGACUUCAGCUUCUCCCACCUUUUUUGUAACAUUGUGCUUUCCCAAAGGAAACGACAGACACAAUAUAUGCAGCCUCACCUCUGCUAAAUGUUCUUAGCCAUGGACAGCCCCAACCAUAAGCAAAUAUUGAGGAACAGUUACUAAUAAUAAGUCAGUUAUUUUGUCCCUAGCUGAGGCUGAUGGGCAAGGACCUUGUCAAGCAUUUUGUGACACUUCAUUCUCCAUAGCACAACAUGCAUUGCCACCUAUGCUGUGUUGAAAUUUCAUAACAUGCAUACAGACAUUUCAAGUCUUAAGGCUUUUUUUCCCCCAGUGGACAGGUGCUGCUUCAAUUUUUUUUGUCUUUUGUUAUAAGUACACUCUUCCCAAGCUUCAGUCAGUUUUACUUUUUUUUUCUAAAUCUUCACUGUCUUUAUACGUUACUGUGAACAAGAUGUGAAUUUGUUAUGUAAUCUUAUACACAUAUUUCAGAAAAUAAAC